This 302-nucleotide unclassified non-coding RNA is filed under the name uncultured fungus. Its description in RNAcentral is "partial contains 5.8S ribosomal RNA, internal transcribed spacer 2, and large subunit ribosomal RNA". The record is from RNAcentral. Lineage: Eukaryota; Fungi.
AACGCAUAUGGCACCCGAGACCUUGGUCGAGGGUAUGUCUGCCUCAGAGUCGGCGUAAAAACAUCCCCGAGGGUACACACCCAAGGGGGAGCUGGCUUUCCCAAGGGACCCUGCGGUCCGUGGGUCUGCCGAAGGGAAGAGACGGAGGACCGGGUCUGCACCGGGCAGCCACGAUUUGGUGGGAGGAUACCUCGUAUCCGCAUCAUCGUCGUGCGCUCAAACGCCCCGCGUCGAUCCGCCCUGCAGGAAUAUCUGAAUUAUAAUCCGACCUGAGUUCAGGCAAGACCACCCGCUGAACUUAA